Molecule: long non-coding RNA, 515 nt
Filed under: Daucus carota (carrot)
Lineage: Eukaryota; Viridiplantae; Streptophyta; Magnoliopsida; Apiales; Apiaceae
Description: long non-coding RNA (DCAR_LNC000910)
Source: RNAcentral
UGGAAGGUGGUGAGAUUAUGACUGGAGGGUUGACUAUUGGGGGAGUUACUAUGGGGGGUGUGAUGAUAGGUGGAUUGACAAUAGGAGGGUUAACAAUUGGUGGGAGGACAACCGGUGGCUUAUGCGAAGGCGGCUUAUGUGUAGGUGGCUUAUAUGAAGGUGGAUUCUGUGUAGGAGGCUUAAAUGAAGGCGGCUUAUGUGUAGGUGGCUUAUUUGAAGGCGGCUUAUGUGUAGGUGGCUUAUACGAGGGUGGAUUCUGUGUAGGUGGCUUAUAUGAAGGCGGCUUAUGUGUAGGUGGCUUAUACGAAGGUGGAUUCUGUGUAGGUGGCUUAUACGAAGGCGGCUUAUGUGUAGGUGGCUUAUGUGAAGAGGGUGGUUUAUGAGAAGGUGUUGAGCCUCCGGGGCUCCUUCCUUUGCUGUGGUGUGGUGGAUGAGGCCGUGGAGUAUUCGGAGGAUUAGGUUGGCGGUAUGGUGGGUAGGGUGGCGGGCAGUAUCCGCUAGCAUAGAUCGGUGGC